GAUGAACGCUGGCUACAGGCUUAACACAUGCAAGUCGAGGGGAAACGACGGGGAAGCUUGCUUCCCCGGGCGUCGACCGGCGCACGGGUGAGUAACGCGUAUCCAACCUGCCUCUGACUGAGGGAUAACCCGUCGAAAGUCGGCCUAAUACCUCAUGGCAUCGUCUGCGGGCAUCCAACGACGAUUAAAGAUUUCAUCGGUCAGGGAUGGGGCUGCGUCUGAUUAGCUUGUUGGCGGGGUAACGGCCCACCAAGGCCACGAUCAGUAGGGGUUCUGAGAGGAAGGUCCCCCAAAUUAGAACUGAGACACGGUCCAAACUGCUACGGGAGGCAGCAGUGAGGAAUAUUGGUCAAGGGGCGGGAGCCUGAACCAGCCAAGUAGCGUGCAGGAUGACGGCCCUAUGGGUUGUAAACUGCUUUUAUGCGGGGAUAAAGUGAGGGACGUGUCCUUCAUUGCAGGUACCGAAUGAAUAAGGACCGGCUAAUUCCGUG
RNAcentral lists this ribosomal RNA (491 nucleotides) under uncultured bacterium. RNAcentral's name for it is "partial 16S ribosomal RNA". It matches the Rfam family "Bacterial small subunit ribosomal RNA", at positions 28 to 507 of the family's 1533-position model. The record is from RNAcentral.